Molecule: ribosomal RNA, 253 nt
Filed under: uncultured bacterium
Lineage: Bacteria
Description: partial 16S ribosomal RNA
Rfam family: Bacterial small subunit ribosomal RNA
Source: RNAcentral
UACGUAGGGUGCGAGCGUUAAUCGGAAUUACUGGGCGUAAAGCGUGCGCAGGCGGCUUGCCAAGUCAGAUGUGAAAGCCCCGGGCUCAACCCGGGAACUGCGUUUGAAACUGGCAGGCUAGAGUUUGGCAGAGGGGGGUGGAAUUCCACGUGUAGCAGUGAAAUGCGUAGAGAUGUGGAGGAACACCGAUGGCGAAGGCAGCCCCCUGGGCCAAAACUGACGCUCAGGCACGAAAGCGGGGGGAGCAAACAGG